RNAcentral lists this ribosomal RNA (429 nucleotides) under bacterium. RNAcentral describes it as "partial 16S ribosomal RNA". It matches the Rfam family "Bacterial small subunit ribosomal RNA", at positions 355 to 776 of the family's 1533-position model. The record is from RNAcentral.
UAGGGAAUCUUCGGCAAUGGGGGCAACCCUGACCGAGCAACGCCGCGUGAGUGAAGAAGGUUUUCGGAUCGUAAAGCUCUGUUGUAAGAGAAGAACGUGUGGGAGAGUGGAAAGUUCACACAGUGACGGUAACUUACCAGAAAGGGACGGCUAACUACGUGCCAGCAGCCGCGGUAAUACGUAGGUCCCGAGCGUUGUCCGGAUUUAUUGGGCGUAAAGCGAGCGCAGGCGGUUUAAUAAGUCUGAAGUUAAAGGCAGUGGCUUAACCAUUGUUCGCUUUGGAAACUGUUAAACUUGAGUGCAGAAGGGGAGAGUGGAAUUCCAUGUGUAGCGGUGAAAUGCGUAGAUAUAUGGAGGAACACCGGUGGCGAAAGCGGCUCUCUGGUCUGUAACUGACGCUGAGGCUCGAAAGCGUGGGGAGCAAACAGG